RNAcentral lists this ribosomal RNA (255 nucleotides) under uncultured bacterium. Its description in RNAcentral is "partial 16S ribosomal RNA". It matches the Rfam family "Bacterial small subunit ribosomal RNA", at positions 524 to 777 of the family's 1533-position model. The record is from RNAcentral.
UACGAAGGGGGCUAGCGUUGCUCGGAAUCACUGGGCGUAAAGCGCACGUAGGCGGACUCUUAAGUCGGUGGUGAAAUCCUGGAGCUCAACUCCAGAACUGCCUUCGAUACUGGGAGUCUCGAGUCCGAGAGAGGUGAGUGGAACUGCGAGUGUAGAGGUGAAAUUCGUAGAUAUUCGCAAGAACACCAGUGGCGGAAGGCGGCUCACUGGCUCGGUACUGACGCUGAGGUGCGAAAGCGUGGGGAGCAAACAGGG